CGAAACACACAACUGGAAACGGAAUGCCAAUCAAUGGUCUUAUAUCCAACUCCGAACAAAACAAACAAACAAGGAAACCGAAUGCCAAUCGCUGGACUUACAUCAGACUCCAAACAAACAAACACACACAGGAAACCGACUGCCAAUUGCUGGACUUAUGUCAGACUCCGAACAAACAGACACACACAGGAAACCGACUGCCAAUCGCUGGGCUUAUGUCAGACUCCGAACAAACAGACACGCACGGGAA
This 250-nucleotide long non-coding RNA is filed under the name Lathyrus oleraceus (garden pea). Its description in RNAcentral is "Pisum sativum (pea) long non-coding RNA (PSAT_LNC022188)". The record is from RNAcentral. Lineage: Eukaryota; Viridiplantae; Streptophyta; Magnoliopsida; Fabales; Fabaceae.